GAAUGGACAUAACAAUUGGAACGAUCAUAUAGUAUUUAUUAAAAAAAUAAAAAAGUAUACGACAUACGCAAGACAGCUAACAGCAUACCAUGUAGGUGAAAAAAAGUAUAACAAUACUGUAAAAGUAAGUAAGGACGAAAAAAGUGACACGUAUAACUUGUAUGGCGGUUUAAGUGAAAUGGUGAAAGCACCUGGUGUUGUGAGUACAGACAGUGUGUAUGAAAAAGUAUUUAAUACUUAUAGUUCGAGUACUUAUGCUAAUAAAAAUGAAAGUGCACCUUCCAAAUAUAAUAGUAAAAAUAACAUACAAAUUGAUACAAAUAAAAGAUCUACUUCUAUAAAUAUGCAACAGAAAGGUGGCACUUUCCAAACGAGAAAUACUAGAGAUAUAUCUAGCAGUGUUGGAAUAUCUGAAAGCAAAACUAAUAAAGGUGAGUAUGUAUUUGGUAAUGAUAAAAAAAAAGAUCAAAAUGUAAAACAAUCCUAUCACCAGACGUUUGAACAAAGAGAAAAAAAUGCUAAAAAUAUAGAAGAUAACAAAAUGGAUGACUAUGAAAAUGCUUUUAAAAAAUUUUCAACAAACGUAGGAAACGGAAAUAAAAACAAAACAACAGUUAGCGCAAGAACAGAAAGCAAUUUGUCAUUAAAUGCAUGUGAAAAAUCAUAUGAAAAUUUUUUUAAAGCUUGUACUACGAAGAAGGAAAUGGAAGCUCAUGCGGUGGCAUCUAUUCCUGAGGCAUCAUCAAAUAUUUCUGUAAACCAAAACGAACAGAAUAAAAGGGAACACAUAAAAAAUAAACCUCAGAGCAAAUUUGAUUAUGUUCCUAAAAAUUAUGAAUUUUAUUUAAAUAGUAUGCAUACGUCAUUCAUAAACAUUGCACACGAUUUAAAAGAAAUAUUAAAAAAACAUCCUAAAGACUUUGAUACUUUAAAAAUGCUUUUGUUAUAUAAUAUGGAGAUUAGUAUUAUGAGAUACAAUUUUCUCAAUAUACAAAAUGAAUUAUUUAAACUUUGGAAUACUUUAUCAAACACAUAUAAUAUUGACAGUUAUUAUAAAAAUAAACAUUGGACAAAGAUUUAUACCAAAAUAAUAAAGGAAGUAUUUUAUAAGGAAAAAAAGUAUUUACAUGAAUUAUAUUGUACCCUUCAAAAUGGG
This 1156-nucleotide long non-coding RNA is filed under the name Piliocolobus tephrosceles (Ugandan red Colobus). Its description in RNAcentral is "lncRNA (ENSPTEG00000009553.1)". Lineage: Eukaryota; Metazoa; Chordata; Mammalia; Primates; Cercopithecidae. The record is from RNAcentral.